This 465-nucleotide ribosomal RNA is filed under the name uncultured bacterium. Its description in RNAcentral is "partial 16S ribosomal RNA". It matches the Rfam family "Bacterial small subunit ribosomal RNA", at positions 338 to 795 of the family's 1533-position model. The record is from RNAcentral.
CCUACGGGGGGCAGCAGUAGGGAAUCUUCCACAAUGGGCGCAAGCCUGAUGGAGCAACGCCGCGUGGGUGAAGAAGGUCUUCGGAUCGUAAAACCCUGUUGUUAGAGAAGAAAGUGCGUGAGAAUAACUGUUCACGUUUCGACGGUAUCUAACCAGAAAGCCACGGCUAACUACGUGACAGCAGCCGCGGUAAUACGUAGGUGGCAAGCGUUAUCCGGAUUUAUUGGGCGUAAAGGUAACGCAGGCGGUCUUUUAAGUCUGAUGUGAAAGCCUUCGGCUUAACCGGAGUAGUGCAUUGGAAACUGGGAGACUUGAGUGCAGAAGAGGAGAGUGGAACUCCAUGUGUAGCGGUGAAAUGCGUAGAUAUAUGGAAGAACACCAGUGGCGAAAGCGGCUCUCUGGUCUGUAACUGACGCUGAGGUUCGAAAGCGUGGGUAGCAAACAGGAUUAGAUACCCGAGUAGUC